This 103-nucleotide microRNA precursor is filed under the name Brugia malayi. RNAcentral describes it as "microRNA bma-mir-232 precursor". Its record names the gene bma-mir-232. Lineage: Eukaryota; Metazoa; Nematoda; Chromadorea; Rhabditida; Onchocercidae. The record is from miRBase by way of RNAcentral.
AUGAGAAUAAAUGCAUCUGAAAUGCGAAUAAAUGCAUCUAAGAUGCGAAUGGACGCAUCUGAAAUGCGAAUAAAUGCAUCUAAGAUGCGAAUGGACGCAUCUA